UGAAAUCCAGCCUGAGCUUUUAUCUGCUCUCUCCUCUCAAGUAAACCUGAAAGAGGAUGAAAACCAUGUAGGGUGAGAAAUAAUUCUUUAUCAUAGUUAUUUUAGGAUAGAUUUUGAUAAACAGAAGUCCAAGGACAAGUUUUCAGAGGUCUUGAUGUUCCCUACAAGACUUUAAAAAAAUUGUAAUGUCAUUGAUUAUCACUGAAUAAUUUAAAAUAGCAUAUUCUGAACUAUCGUCAAAAUUGCUUUAUUUCCAAAUCUUUUCUCACAAUUUCAGUGUCCAAGUUUGCAAUUAUAUUUACAAAUGAGUUGUCACCAGUCAGACAGGGCUACUUUAACUGUCCCAGGCUAAUGAGAAAAAAACAAAGGCAGAUUUAGUAGGCACAGGAUGAUCUCCUGCCGAGUGAACUCUAAAUGACAUCACUCUGAACUGCGGGAUGAAGGCUCUGAAGCAAUCCAAAAAGUGGUAAAAAAAAAAUGAGCUUCAGUCCAACAGAUUGGAAAAGGCACACACAAAUUAAAGGAAUAGUCCACAUCACAGCCCUAGUGCAAGCAGCAAUCUAGUUUCAGCACAAUUAAUAACUCUUGACAAUUUAAAUUAUUUUUGCUUUGGUAAUUUGUUUGGUUUUAGCUUGUUAAUUUGUUUUGACUUCAAAGUAGUAUGAAUUAAAAACAUAACGACUUUAGAUCUAGUUUUGUGUGGAUGCAUAUUCAAACAAUAUGAGGAUAAAUAAUUUAAUUCCAUAUUGCAGGGUGUGUGAAAACAUUUAUCUUUAAAAGGAUCCAUGGACACUGGAUUUUGAUUCAGACCAGCAUGGAAGUUUAGCUGUCAUGGUGCUGGGUGAGUUCCUGGGAGGGACCAUGCCCUACCAGAAACAGCUCCCCAUGGACCAAGGAUGGGAAAUCCAUGGCAUGCAACAUUUUGCACAAUUUCACUGACAUUUAAGAGAUUUUGCUUUAGGCUGUUCAUCUCAUUUCUCUCUUCUUAGACUCAUGUUA
This 999-nucleotide long non-coding RNA is filed under the name Capra hircus (goat). Its description in RNAcentral is "lncRNA (ENSCHIG00010028541.1)". The record is from RNAcentral. Lineage: Eukaryota; Metazoa; Chordata; Mammalia; Artiodactyla; Bovidae.